GUCACCUGUGGGAUCAGUGACUGUGGGAUCAGUCACCUGUGGGAUCAGUGACUGUGGGAUCAGUCACCUGUGGGAUCAGUGACUGUGGGAUCAGUCACCUGUGGGAUCAGUGACUGUGGGAUCAGUCACCUGUGGGAUCAGUGACUGUGGGAUCAGUGACUGUGGGAUCAGUGACCUGUGGGAUCAGUGAAUGUGGGAUCAGUAAUCUGCUGCUGUUCGGUCUUGGAGCACACCUGGGCUGCCGGACACGCGUCUGGAACCGUCUCACCCUCCCAGUGAGCUGAGCAGGACAAUGAGAUCGGUGUUUUACACUCGUUCUCCCAGCGCCACUGAGCCAGCACGCGGGGUCUGGGUUUGUGUCGCUUCUGUCACCGCCGAGCUGGGGACAGCGCCACCAGGGGGCGCUGCGGGCACGAACCGGGUGGAAAAGGGGCGGGUUUGGUUAAAAUCGCGAUCUCAGCGCUGGAAAAGGGGCGGGUUUGGUUAAAAUCGCGAUCUCAGCGCUGGAAAAGGGGCGGGUUUGGUUAAAAUCGCGAUUUCAGCGCUCUGGCCUUGUGUAGAGCCGUCCCUGCUGACCGGGAUCCUUCAUCACUAACCGGUGUCCUUCAUCAUCACCCACUGUCCUUUAUCAUCACCCAGCAUCCUUCAUCAGCCCCCAUAAAACGCCUGUAGCUACUUUACUGGCUUUGUGCAACCUCUCAUUAACUUGAAACCUGUCCCUAAACAUUCUCAGCAGGUUUGGGAUUAGAUUGCCUUUAAGGUCCCUCCUGACCCUUAGCACUCCCUGAUUCUGUGGUUUUACGUGUCUCUGGCACUGAAGUGAGUAAAGAUGGUUCUGUAGGAGCCGAGUGUUUAAAGCUGUCACCUGCACACUCCCAGACUGCGCCCAGCUCCUCCCUCUCUGCCCUUCUGGCUAUUUCCUCCUGCUGCCCAUCUUUGCUUUUGCACGGCCACAGGCUGCAGAGCACAGUUGGGCUGAAGUUACACACGGUCAAACUUUGCUGGCCUUCACCUGUCCUGCCCCAGCCUGACUG
Molecule: long non-coding RNA, 1034 nt
Filed under: Ficedula albicollis (Collared flycatcher)
Lineage: Eukaryota; Metazoa; Chordata; Aves; Passeriformes; Muscicapidae
Description: lncRNA (ENSFALG00000023223.1)
Source: RNAcentral